GGCGCUCGCAGGGCUUCCUUGGUUUAAAGGGGGGAGUUCAAGCUCAGAGUGGCUAAGAGCUGCUCUCAGGGUCACCCAGCAAGAGCCUGCUGGGAAGGGGGCAACAGCAGGACCACCUGGGUUCAAGGUCACCGCUGGGCGCUUCCCGGCCCCUCCCACCAGCACCCACGGGGCCAUGCCCCUUGCGCCUAUUUAUCUGAGCAGAAGUCGGGGAGCCGCAUGGGCUGUAGGUGGGCCUGAGUCCAGGAGCCUGAUUCCCCGCACCUCCCCAAGACUGAGCGACCAACCUCUCUGCAUCCCACCGGAGGCUCACUGUGCUGUCACUUUACACGACUUCUCAAGGGCAUGAAAUGUCAGCCUUUCGUUGAAAAUCGAAGGCCAAGGCCAUGUCAAGUGUCUUUCAGGUGAGGAUGCAGUUCACAUGGAGCCACAGCUUUGAAAGCCGUAGGCUGUCAAUCAAUAGUUGGCACCUGAUUGAAUGGCUGCUCACAGGGAGCUGCCGGGAGGACAGAUGGCCGGGCCACGUGCUGCACUCCCCACCUGUCUGCAGGAGCCCCGAGAGCGGCCCUCUGUACGAACAGGUAACAUCUGUAGGGCCCUGACAGGCACCCACUUCCACGCAUGCCAACCCACAGGCUCAGUGGCCCUAGGAUCUCCCAUCCCUGUCCCAGGGAGGAACUGAGCUCGAGGUGUGGGUGUGGGGAGCACUUUUCCUCAGUGAGGUGGGAGACAGACACCUGGCAGCUCAGCCCCACUCCUGGAAGCCCAGGGCAUUUCCUUCAUUCCUGGGGAUCUCGGAUCCAGAAAGCAAGAUACCUGGCCAUGGGCAGCUCCCGAGGCUCUGCCCCACCCCACAGGUGCUUGCACACAAGCUCCACCUUAGCGGCCUCUGCUAAAGGUGAGAACCACCUGUUCCAAGCCCGGUGGCACCCACAAGGGGGGACAAGAGCAGCAUCUCUGCCUCUUUCGUAAGUGGUCGUGGCAUGGAGGGGAUUUUCACCAGUGAGCUUCACUCUGAACUACAAACAGAGACACUAGGUUUCCAAUGUGAAAUGCUAAAAGCCUGGCUUCAGGGAAGGGAGGGCUGUGUCUCCACCGGGGAGGAGGUGUCUCUCAGCUGAGCCGAGAGACACUUUCCCCAGAGGAAUCCCAGCUCAGCCUCAGACAGCGCAAAAGCUCCCCAGCAAGCAAAGAAAACAUUUCCCUGGCGCCACCAGUGGGGAGAGGCCAGGAGCUGGCCAGGGUGCUGAAGACGGCGCGGGGGGGCCCCCGGUCUGGAGAUCCCGAGAUGCAGAGGCCUGGGGGGGGGGGGGGGUAGGCGUGGUGUCCACCACGGUGAGCGUGGAUGGGCGGACACUUCACCACUCAGACAGAGCUUCUCGCUGAAGUCGAACCGAAAGUUUCUCCCCGAAACACGGGGUCUUUUAAAAGAUACGAAGAGGAGAAACUUGGUGAGCAAAAGCACCUUAUGUCUCCUGAUGAAAGACUACCAGGAAGGCAUCAGGAGGCCUGGGGACAGACACUUGCGAGGCCACCCAGAACCAGCAGCCUCUUUGCCAAGAUGUGGCAACAGAGAGCAGGCACAGCCCUCUGCAAAGAGCCUGCUGCUGCUGGGGACCUGCUGGGUUUUUCUGCACGUGUGUGCAUUUGUGUGUGUGCUACAGGCGUCCGUGCGUCUGUCCACCCACCGCGCACAGCCAGCACCCCUCCCCAGAGCCUCUGCAGAGGGGCAAGGAAACUUCUCUCCCGGAGGCCAUGAGGAGCCGGCCAGGGGUGACUGGCAGGUGACCAGCGACACCGGGGCAGGGGUGCGGAGGGUGAAGGGGGACAAACCCCACCGUGGGGCCAGGGAGCCCCGUGCCUCCUGGGGAGAGCUGGGGCAGCAAGGACUUGCAGGAAACAGGGAGGCUCGCUCCAGUCUUCUCUCUCCCUGUGGUCUUCCUCCUGCUCUCGGCCCUCCCUUCUCUUCUUUGUUUCCUUUUAUUUUCCCGAGGGAGGCUGUCAGCGAGCCAGGGAAGUCCGGCAGCUGGGUCAGGGCCACGGGGCUGGCGGCCCUCCCCUCCUAGACUUGUGACUCCCAAGGGCCAGCGUCUCUGGGUGCAGAGCCCGGCACAGUGGCUCCACGGAAAGGGCGUUUUAAUGUCACUCCCAGGCAGUCCGAAGCCGGCAGGCUCUUCCCAGCACCCGGCGCCAGGCGCCCUCCCCAAAGGGCGCACCACUUCUCCCAGACCUGCCGCUCCAGAUGCCUUUUUAACAUGGAGAACGCCGCCCCGCACGCGUACAUUGUUCAGGGGACGGCGAGCCGCGCAGGUGCCCGCUGCCCUGGGCCGCAGUCCCCACGCCCUCCGCACGAAGCCAGCAAUGCACCUGCACUACCGCCUGCCCUUGCGGGGCUCCGGGCACAAUUCCCGCAGCCUGCCUGGGGUCUUGGGGGUGCGCAAUGCCGGAGACAAGGGACGAGCCGCCCCAGGGCCGUGUGUGGGGCUGAGAGCGAGCCCCUCUGCCUUGGAACGCGGGGGGCUCGGUUCGCGCGCUCCGGACCCCCCCCCCCGCGGUGACCACGGCCAACGACCCCCGGCGCCGCCCCGUGAACUUCUCAGCGGGGGCGGAGGGCAGGGAGCCCCGAGAGGGGCGGCUGUGCCAGCAUUGGGGGCCCGCGGUCUCCGGCCGACUUGCACCCCGCCCUCCGCCCCAGGGCCGGCCGGGGACUGGGACCCCCCCCUCUCUGGACCAGGGAUGGGCCCGCCGGGCAGGGGCUCCCCGGGCCGCGCGGGCGCCGGGCGGAGGAAAAUGGCGUUGGCGCACGUACUUGGGAAAAACAAGAAGAAAGAAAGUUCCCGUUUCCAUACAGACACAAUUUCCCACCCAGCUCCUUUCCACCGGACAACGUGGAGCCUGCAGAAACACUUGAAUUUAAAGAAGAAAGAGAAACCAAAGUCCAGUGCAAGGGCUGAGCAGGGAUCUCUAUUGGACGCUGCUUUUCAGCUGGCUGCGGGGACAGACACAAACACACAACAAGCAAAUCAAAGAACCAGGCGGAUAUUGACAGGCUCCCUUGGACAGCUGCCUUCUGCUCCCUGAGCCCCAUCUGUAGAGACAGCACUGGGUCUGAUGUGGAGCUUAGCGGUCUUGCUUCCUCAGGGUGCAGUUUGAGAAUAAAACCCAAAGAAAACCAGCAGCUCUGAAACACACGAGUGCAGGACAUCGGUGGCCCCUGAGCAAUGGUGAGAACACAGAGAACAAAGUCUUCUGGAGCUGGAAAAACAGUGACCGCCCCUGGAAGGGCCAGGCAGAGACCCCCACGAGGCUUCGGUUUCCCAAACAAAGGUUCAGACGUUGCUGGCAUCAGCCUCACAUCUCCUUCCAGCAUCAGCUCGAGGGCCUGGAUCUGUGAGCAGCCAGGAGACACCGGUCUCUGGUCCCUUGUCCCUGUGGCUGCAGCAGCGCUGCCCCCAGGCGAUCGAGGAAGGGCUGCUGGGCUGCAUGCUGGGACCUCAGGAGCUUGGCGAGACCCCAGUAGUCACACACAAGUCAGACUCCUCGACCUCCUCAAGGGGAAGGACGGAGCAGCUCUGCCAGGACCUGGGAAUGCUUAUCUGGCAAGUGUGCCCUGUCCGCGAAGUGUUCUGGGGGCACAGCUCAUGCGGGGCACUGGAGCAGGAGCCAGGAGCCCGGACUGCUGUGGCCCUAUGGGGCUGUCACCUCGCUGGGCCCAGGGCAAUCAGCUCCGGCUUCUGGUGGCUCAGCUGCCCUGGCUCGACAGCCUUUUUGCCCAUUUUCCACUGGAGGCUUUUGUUUGUUUCUGUCUUUCUGCUGAGCUGUGAGACUUCUCAUCUAUAUAGAUACAAAUCUUCUGGCACAUAUGUAUUUUAAUAUCUUCUUUCAUUUUGGACCUUGACCUUUGUUUGUUAAAUGGUGCCUUCCAAAAAGGAAAAGGUUUCAACUUUGAUAAAAUCCGGUUUGUCAGUUUUCAUUCUGUGAUUUGUGCUUUUUGCAUCCAGUCUAAGAAAUCUUUCCCCCAAAGAUGGCAAGAUUUUCUCCUAUCUUUCCUUCUUCUAUUAUUUAUUAUUCUUUAGCUUUUGCAUUUUGGCUGUGACCCCCUUUGAGUUCACUUUUGUCUACACUGUAAGGUAGAGGUGUGGAUUUUUCUCUCCUAGACACAUUCUGUCCUUCAGCAAAUUCCUUUCCCCUUGAAUGGCCGCUGCACCUUUGUUGAACAUCAGUUUAACAAAUACGUGUGGGAAUAUUUCUGGACUCUAUUAGGUACCACUGAUCUAUAAGUCUAAACUUUUGCAAAUGCUUGUCUUGAUUACUACCUGUUCUUAGUGAGUCUUGAAAUCGGGUACUGUAAGUGCUUCACCUUUGUUUGUUUCUUCUUCUUUUUAAUUUAAUUGUUUUGGCCGUUGUGUCAUUUGCAUUUCCCUCUCAUAAUACUGGAGUCUGAUGCAAAAAGGAGGCCUAUUUUCCAUUUACCUGGAUUAUCUUUUGUUUCUCUCAACAGUGUUCUAUGGUUUCCAGGGAAGAGAAAUCAUACCUUCAGUAGGUUUUCAUGUUAUUAUGAGUCUUUAAAUUUUCAUUUUCUAGCCUGGUGUGGUACACACCUGUAUUCCCAGCACUCAGGAGGCGGAGACAGAAGAAUCAAGAGUUUGAUGGCAGGCUGAGAUACCUUGUAAGUUCAAGGCUAGGCUCAACCACAUAGAAAGAUCCUGUCUCAAAACACCAAAAAAAAAAAAGUCUAAUCAUUUGCUAACACAUAAAACUGUGAUUGAUUUCUGGAUCCUCAAAUUUUGCACCUCGCUAAAUUCACUUAUUAGUUCCAAUCCUUGUUUAAUGGACUUCUUAGCAAUUUUACACAGGCAGUUAUUUCACCUAAGCAUAGAGACUAGUUUACUUCUUUUCAGGUCUGUGUGAUGUCACUUACUUGUUUUCUCUUUGCAAUAACCAGCCCCGCCCCAAUAAGCACUGAAUAAACAUGGUGGGAGCUGGGCCUGUGCUGCU
Non-coding RNA from Heterocephalus glaber (naked mole-rat), 4998 nucleotides. The record is from RefSeq and is a predicted model, not a curated record. NCBI's taxonomy places the organism in Eukaryota, Metazoa, Chordata, Mammalia, Rodentia, Bathyergidae.